UACGUAGGGGGCAAGCGUUGUCCGGAAUCAUUGGGCGUAAAGAGCGUGUAGGCGGCUUGGUAAGUCCGCUGUGAAAGUCCAGGGCUCAACCCUGGAAUGCCGGUGGAAACUGUCAAGCUUGAGUCCGGAAGAGGCGAGUGGAAUUCCUGGUGUAGCGGUGAAAUGCGCAGAAAUCAGGAGGAACACCAAUGGCGAAGGCAGCUCGCUGGGACGGUACUGACGCUGAGACGCGAAAGCGUGGGGAGCAAACAGG
RNAcentral lists this ribosomal RNA (253 nucleotides) under uncultured bacterium. Its description in RNAcentral is "partial 16S ribosomal RNA". It matches the Rfam family "Bacterial small subunit ribosomal RNA", at positions 524 to 776 of the family's 1533-position model. The record is from RNAcentral.